AUACGUAGGGUGCAAGCGUUAAUCGGAAUUACUGGGCGUAAAGCGUGCGCAGGCGGUUUUGUAAGACAGUGGUGAAAUCCCCGGGCUCAACCUGGGGACUGCCAUUGUGACUGCCAGGCUGGAGUGCGGCAGAGGGGGAUGGAAUUCCGCGUGUAGCCGUGAAAUGCGUAGAUAUGCGGAGGAACACCGAUGGCUAAGGCAAUCCCCUGGGCCUGCACUGACGCUGAUGCAAGAGAGCGUGGGGAGCAAACAGUAUUAGAUACCCUGGUAGUCCACGCCCUAAACGAUGUCAACUGGUUGUUGGGGAUUUAUUUUCUCAGUAACGAAGCUAACGCGUGAAGUUGACCGCCUGGGGAGUACGGCCGCAAGGUUAAAACUCAAAUGAAUUGACGGGG
RNAcentral lists this ribosomal RNA (395 nucleotides) under uncultured bacterium. RNAcentral describes it as "partial 16S ribosomal RNA". It matches the Rfam family "Bacterial small subunit ribosomal RNA", at positions 523 to 918 of the family's 1533-position model. The record is from RNAcentral.